AGAAACAAGGGGAGAGUUUCUCCAAAAGUUCAUUCGGUUUUUUUAUAGAGAAAUUAUGAUCUACAAAGAUCUAAUGGUCCGAUCUUCAAUCCGUUUUCAGAAACAUGAUCCUUACACUCAGAUCUACAUUUUCACCAAUCAUUUUACGGCAUGGGUUACUUGGAACUUGCUUGAGACUACUCAAACCAUGGGUUUUGGUUUGGUGAAUUUUGACAUUGAUGCUUUGGUUGCAGGUUCUGCGGAUAUAGAUAUUGACUUGUCCACCUAGCGCAUGGGAUGCUAUGAUUGGAGCACAUCGUGACAAUCAUAAGUUAUAGACUCAUGGGUAGUCUGCAUUUUGGGUAUUUUAUUUAUGGCUCGUGUCCUACGUGGCAUAUUUAUUUG
This is a long non-coding RNA of Alnus glutinosa, 384 nucleotides long. RefSeq lists it as uncharacterized. The transcript has 3 exons. Lineage: Eukaryota; Viridiplantae; Streptophyta; Magnoliopsida; Fagales; Betulaceae. The record is from RefSeq and is a predicted model, not a curated record.